Malaya genurostris is the source of this 835-nucleotide long non-coding RNA. RefSeq lists it as uncharacterized. The transcript is spliced from 3 exons. Lineage: Eukaryota; Metazoa; Arthropoda; Insecta; Diptera; Culicidae. The record is from RefSeq and is a predicted model, not a curated record.
GUUGGCAACACUUUUAUACACAUUCUGUCAAAUUUUGACGCAUAUCGUACGAUUAGUUUUUGUUUGGCGUCUAUACAAAGAAGUUGAAAAAUUUUCGUGUGACGAUUUUUAUAAUGGAUGAAAAUUUAGAACAACGUGCGUGCAUCAAAUUUUGUGUUGCAAAUGGAUUUAGGUGUUCCGAAACGUUGAAAAUGUUAGAAAAGGCCUUUUGUGAAUCGUGUCUAGGAAAAACACAGGCAUACGAGUGGUAUAAACGCUUCGAAGGUGAUCGUACAAGCUUGGAUCAUGUAUACAUAUACAUGUAUACAUGUGUAUAGCUUACGAAAGUCUAUUCGCGACUACGAAGUUAAGUUUGACAGCUUAUGUGUGUGAAGUGGAAGUAAACAAGCAAAAGAAAAAAGUGAUAAAUUUUCAAACGUACCGUUUUCUUCGAUUUUAGUUUUACUGUUUGAAUUGGAGCCUUCAAAAGGUUUUACGUGCACUGUGUUGAUGAAUUUGUCGGAAGUUUUUAGCUACGCUGCCGGAGGAAUCCGUUCGGAUAUGGAUGGAUUUGGCUUAUUUUCGACUUGUCUACAGUCAUCCUCUAAGUGUCGAGCCGCAUACAAUAAAAGUUUACACUAGCAGUUAACGCUCUGCUUGGUUAUUUGCAUGUAUUUGCAAAACUAGUGAAGGAAAAUGCAAACAUGUGAUAGCUGUUUGGAUCAUUGAUGGAGAAACUCGACUCAAUAGAACGGUUAACAUCCAACGAGAUUAAAACGAGCGGCGGUCGGAUAUUCCGAACCGAUAACAUCAUGUUUGAAGGACAUUUGGCAUUUGUUCAUUAACUACAUUUUAU